Molecule: ribosomal RNA, 615 nt
Filed under: uncultured bacterium
Lineage: Bacteria
Description: bacterial SSU rRNA
Rfam family: Bacterial small subunit ribosomal RNA
Source: RNAcentral
CCUACGGGAGGCAGCAGUAAGGAAUAUUGGUCAAUGGAGGCAACUCUGAACCAGCCAUGCCGCGUGCAGGAAGACAGCCCUAUGGGUCGUAAACUGCUUUUAUACGGGAAUAAACUUUGAUUCGUGAAUCAAGCUGAAUGUACCGUAAGAAUAAGGAUCGGCUAACUCCGUGCCAGCAGCCGCGGUAAUACGGAGGAUCCAAGCGUUAUCCGGAUUUAUUGGGUUUAAAGGGAGCGUAGGCGGCCUAUUAAGUCAGGGGUGAAAGACGGUGGCUCAACCAUCGCAGUGCCUUUGAUACUGAUGGGCUUGAAUAUAGUUGAGGUAGGCGGAAUGUGACAAGUAGCGGUGAAAUGCAUAGAUAUGUCACAGAACACCGAUUGCGAAGGCAGCUUACUAAGCUAUGAUUGACGCCGAGGCUCGAAAGCGUGGGGAUCAAACAGGAUUAGAUACCCUGGUAGUCCACGCCCUAAACGAUGAUAACUCGAUGUUGGCGAUAUACAGUCAGCGUCCAAGCGAAAGCGUUAAGUUAUCCACCUGGGGAGUACGCCCGCAAGGGUGAAACGUCAAAGGAAUUGACGGCGNGAGAGAGCGACGGACGACGACGAGGGGAGGAGG